AGUUGUAUGUACAUAAUAAACGGGAAUAUCAAUGCAUAGUUUUAGCAUAACAUCUUGACUCCUCGAUAAUUAUAUCCGUUUGGAGCCUACGCAGAAUAGCUUGAAUUGCAUGCUAUAAAGACAGAGGCUAUAGCAGAAAUGCAGUCAUAUUCGACAGCUGCAUCUUGGUUUUGAGCCGUUUAGUGGAGGCUUUAGUGGAUCUACUGGCGGAAAUGCAGGCACUCGAGGUUUUUUUUCCUAACCUAAUAGCAAAACCUGAUAUCGUGACUUAGUAAAAACCAACCGGGUUGUCUGAAAAGAUCAAGGGCAUAGGGACACGGAACUCCUAGGAUAAUAAAUUAUGGAUACCGCUACAAAGUGAAUCCCCUAUCAACUGUGACGGACUGCAUGAUCAGACCAAACGAAUCAAUGGGAAAACAAAACUGAGUCUCGGACCAGCCUUGCAAGCACAUGUAUCUGUGGGCGCUCAAGAUUAAUUGUCAACACAGUACCCACCUUGUGUGCCUUUGGUCAUGUCUGGGCUACCCUCUGUGCCAUUGGGAAACUACCUGUAGCUCUUUUUGAAAUAUUCAACACACUUUUAUCCAGUCAGAGUUUACUCAGCCGACUAGUGCUUCAGAAAAUAACAAGUCAAUUUCCAACAGCAAACAACAGCCCAUGAGCCCUGGGAUGCUCAAACAGAAGAAGGAAAAGGAAGAAGCGAAGACUGGAGAAAUAUUAUUGGAAGAUGCUGCCAGAAGAACUGAGAGAAUACAGUGAUAAGUAAUCAUAAACAGAAACAAGGAUUAAUCUAAUUGCUCUGAUGAAGGGUCUAGGCCCGAAACGUCAGCUUUUGUGCUCCUGAGAUGCUGCUUGGCCUGCUGUGUUCAUCCAGCUCCACACUUUGUUAUCUUAAUUUAUUUGCGGCUGGUAGGCACAAUGGAAAUUCAACAUUUUUCUAAAAAGCAAAUGUGGCACCUGAGGAAUUCUGUGUUACAUGCAAGAUUUUUAGCCAAUUUAUUUCCAAUUAACUGGGCAGAUCCAAACUCUCUGCACUAAAAUUGCACCUCCUCCAAUUGAGUAUUUUCACUCCAAAUUGCUCCCUGUCCUUUUUC
Long non-coding RNA from Stegostoma tigrinum, 1094 nucleotides. RefSeq lists it as uncharacterized. The transcript is spliced from 5 exons. The record is from RefSeq and is a predicted model, not a curated record. Lineage: Eukaryota; Metazoa; Chordata; Chondrichthyes; Orectolobiformes; Stegostomatidae.